AUGGCGUCGGUGAUUCCGGACGGGGGCGGCGGCGAUAUGGGUGGCGGCGCGGGCGGCGGCGACGGCGGCGGCGGUGGCACAAAUUUGGAUGAUGUUGGCUUAUUCUCUGAAGUGGAUAAGUGGUUGGGGACGAGCAGCUAUGCGAUGCAUGCAGGGUUGCAGCAGCCGGAGGCAGUGGUCGGCCAGUCAUCGCCGGCGCCUGGAUGUUUUAUGGGUGGCAGUUUGGCUGAGCAGAAGUGGGAGAUAUGGUUUCAUUUAGAAGGAAGAAACCCUGUGAAAAGGGUUAUAUAUGAGACAGAUUUCUUUGCUUACUCUACAAUCACUCAUUGCUAG
RNAcentral lists this ribosomal RNA (333 nucleotides) under Triticum aestivum (bread wheat). Its description in RNAcentral is "partial small subunit ribosomal RNA". Lineage: Eukaryota; Viridiplantae; Streptophyta; Magnoliopsida; Poales; Poaceae. The record is from RNAcentral.